AGAGGCUUAGGUUAACCCAGACCGAGGGCCUUCAAAGCCCUAAGCAAAUAGCACAUAUUUAGCCUCUG
RNAcentral lists this transfer RNA (68 nucleotides) under Hsunycteris thomasi (Thomas' nectar bat). RNAcentral describes it as "tRNA-Trp". Lineage: Eukaryota; Metazoa; Chordata; Mammalia; Chiroptera; Phyllostomidae. The record is from RNAcentral.